AGAGAGGUGUCCGAGUGGUUGAAGGAGCACGCCUGGAAAGCGUGUAUACGUGCAAGCGUAUCGAGGGUUCGAAUCCCUUCCUCUCUG
This 87-nucleotide transfer RNA is filed under the name Jiulongibacter sediminis. Its description in RNAcentral is "Leadbetterella sp. JN14-9 tRNA". It matches the Rfam family "tRNA". From Rfam's summary of the family: Transfer RNA (tRNA) molecules are approximately 80 nucleotides in length. Their secondary structure includes four short double-helical elements and three loops (D, anti-codon, and T loops). The record is from Rfam by way of RNAcentral. Lineage: Bacteria; Pseudomonadati; Bacteroidota; Cytophagia; Cytophagales; Leadbetterellaceae. RNAcentral also lists the same sequence under 3 other names.